AGCAGCCGCGGUAAUUCCAGCUCCAAUAGCGUAUAUUAAAGUUGUUGCAGUUAAAAAGCUCGUAGUUGAACUUCGGGGUUUACCCAUUGGUCAGGCUUAAUUGUCUGUACUGGUGAGAUGAACCUCUACCUUCUGAGGAACUUUCAUGCCAUUUAUUUGGUGUGAUGGGAAAUCAGGACUGUUACUUUGAAAAAUUAGAGUGUUUAAAGCAGGCUAACGUCUGAAUACAUUAGCAUGGAAUAAUGAAAUAGGACGGAUUGAUUCUAUUUCGUUGGUUUCUAGGAUCACCGUAAUGAUUAAUAGGGAUAGUUGGGGGCAUUAGUAUUCAAUUGUCAGAGGUGAAAUUCUUGGAUUUAUUGAAGACUAACUACUGCGAAAGCAUUUGCCAAGGAUGUUUUCAUUAAUCAAGAACGAAGUUAGGGGAUCGAAGACGAUCAGAUACCGUCGUAGUCUUAACCAUA
RNAcentral lists this ribosomal RNA (461 nucleotides) under uncultured Diversispora. RNAcentral's name for it is "SSU rRNA". It matches the Rfam family "Eukaryotic small subunit ribosomal RNA", at positions 569 to 1034 of the family's 1831-position model. The record is from RNAcentral. Lineage: Eukaryota; Fungi; Glomeromycota; Glomeromycetes; Diversisporales; Diversisporaceae.